CUGUACUUUUUUUUUUAUUUCUUUUUAUCCAUGAUCGAAUUUUUUGAAAAAUGAUGAUUUUUUGAAAAGAUGUGAAAAUCAUGAUAAGGUUUUGAUUAUCACGAUGUAUUAAACCCAAUUUUUAAUUUUUAUUGUUUGAGUUUGCUGUAAUUUUUUUUUUUUUUUUUCCAUGCUUGAAUUUUUUGAAAAAUGAUGAUUUUCCGAAAAGAUGUGAAAAUCGUGACAAGGUUUUAAUUAUCAUGAGGUAUUAAACCAUAUUUUAAAUUUUUAUUGUUAAAGUUUUUGUUGAAAAAAUUGUAUGUUGAUGGAUU
RNAcentral lists this long non-coding RNA (311 nucleotides) under Amborella trichopoda. RNAcentral describes it as "long non-coding RNA (ATRI_LNC004267)". The record is from RNAcentral. Lineage: Eukaryota; Viridiplantae; Streptophyta; Magnoliopsida; Amborellales; Amborellaceae.